This 433-nucleotide ribosomal RNA is filed under the name uncultured bacterium. Its description in RNAcentral is "partial 16S ribosomal RNA". It matches the Rfam family "Bacterial small subunit ribosomal RNA", at positions 29 to 507 of the family's 1533-position model. The record is from RNAcentral.
AGCGAACGCUGGCGGCAGGCUUAACACAUGCAAGUCGAGCGGGCACUUCGGUGUCAGCGGCAGACGGGUGAGUAACACGUGGGAACGUACCCUUCGGUUCGGAAUAACGCUGGGAAACUAGCGCUAAUACCGGAUACGCCCUUUUGGGGAAAGGUUUACUGCCGAAGGAUCGGCCCGCGUCUGAUUAGCUAGUUGGUGGGGUAAUGGCCUACCAAGGCGACGAUCAGUAGCUGGUCUGAGAGGAUGAUCAGCCACACUGGGACUGAGACACGGCCCAGACUCCUACGGGAGGCAGCAGUGGGGAAUAUUGGACAAUGGGCGCAAGCCUAAUCCAGCCAUGCCGCGUGAGUGAUGAAGGCCUUAGGGUUGUAAAGCUCUUUUGUCCGGGACGAUAAUGACGGUACCGGAAGAAUAAGCCCCGGCUAACUUCGUG